Molecule: ribosomal RNA, 293 nt
Filed under: uncultured eukaryote
Lineage: Eukaryota
Description: partial 18S ribosomal RNA
Rfam family: Eukaryotic small subunit ribosomal RNA
Source: RNAcentral
GGUUGAUCCUGCCAGUAGUCAUAUGCUUGUCUCAAAGAUUAAGCCAUGCAUGUCUAAGUAUAAACAACAUUAUACUGUGAAACUGCGAAUGGCUCAUUAAAUCAGUUAUAAUUUAUUUGAUGGUACUUUACUACAUGGAUAACUGUGGUAAUUCUAGAGCUAAUACAUGCGUAAAAGCCCCGUUUCGGCGUGGGUGUAUUUAUUAGAUAAAAAACCAAUUCGGGCAACCGAUUUCUGGUGAUUCAUAAUAACUUUUCGAAUCGUAUGGCCUUGUGCCGACGAUACUUCAUUCA